UACGGGGGGGGCAAGCGUUGUUCGGAAUUACUGGGCGUAAAGGGCGCGUAGGCGGCGCCGCAAGUGUGGGGUGAAAGCCCACGGCUUACCCGUGGAAUUGCCUGGCAGACUGCGGUGCUAGAGUGUGGUAGGGGAGAGCGGAACUCCUGGUGGAGCGGUGAAAUGCGUAGAUAUCAGGAGGAACACCGGUGGCGAAGGCGGCUCUCUGGUCCACAACUGACGCUGAGGUGCGAAAGCUAGGGGAGCAAACGGG
RNAcentral lists this ribosomal RNA (253 nucleotides) under uncultured bacterium. Its description in RNAcentral is "partial 16S ribosomal RNA". It matches the Rfam family "Bacterial small subunit ribosomal RNA", at positions 524 to 776 of the family's 1533-position model. The record is from RNAcentral.